Rhinichthys klamathensis goyatoka is the source of this 316-nucleotide long non-coding RNA. RefSeq lists it as uncharacterized. Lineage: Eukaryota; Metazoa; Chordata; Actinopteri; Cypriniformes; Leuciscidae. The transcript has 2 exons. The record is from RefSeq and is a predicted model, not a curated record.
UUAAAGUCGGCAUGAAACGGAAGUUGAGAUUGUCAUUUUUUCCUUGUUGUGACGUAUAUCCGAGGCGGGGCUUGAUUUCGUCCUUCGGGAAUUGAUUGGAUCGUUGGAGGUUGGGCGUUGCAAACAAAAUGGAGGCAGAUUUGGAUGUAUCUUCUCUGAGAGGCGGUGCACCGAUAGCCGCACCCUCAUCGGCUCUGGCCGCACCCUUUCGCCAUUGCACGUGACCGAAAGAGAAGAGAGGUCGUUUCGAGGGGGGAGGGAAGGGUAAUGUAUUUGAUUAAAGAUUAUAAGGGUACAUGAAUUUAAAAAAAAAUAA